UACGGAGGGAGCUAGCGUUGUUCGGAAUUACUGGGCGUAAAGCGUACGUAGGCGGUUAUUCAAGUCAGAGGUGAAAGCCUGGAGCUCAACUCCAGAACUGCCUUUGAAACUAGAUAGCUAGAAUCACGGAGAGGUUAGUGGAAUUCCGAGUGUAGAGGUGAAAUUCGUAGAUAUUCGGAAGAACACCAGUGGCGAAGGCGACUAACUGGACGUGUAUUGACGCUGAGGUACGAAAGCGUGGGGAGCAAACAGG
RNAcentral lists this ribosomal RNA (253 nucleotides) under uncultured bacterium. Its description in RNAcentral is "partial 16S ribosomal RNA". It matches the Rfam family "Bacterial small subunit ribosomal RNA", at positions 524 to 776 of the family's 1533-position model. The record is from RNAcentral.